AGAUACAACAUGUGGAGAAGAAAUCACUUACUCUGAAAUAACAUUCAAGAAAAGAAAAGCACAGAAAUCGAGAGAUAAAGAGGAGACUGAGGUGGUGUAUGCAGGAAUCGCUGGGAGAUGCUGAUCAGAGUAUGAUUCUGGAGGUGAAAUACUGUGAAAUAGUGUUAGUGUGAAACUUUGUUUAUUUGAACAUAAAUGUAUGCUCAUUUUACACGUCACAAGAAUCACACACAGAUCUUUCAAGAUCAGUGAGUUUCUGGAAAUGAACUGAAAUAUUGCCAUUCCCCACUGACAGAAUGCAUCUUUGACUGACAGAAAAAAACCUUUCCAUAAAAUCAUCCGAUUUGAAGCGUAUCAGUCACACAAGAUUCGUUCUUAGGAUAUGUGUAUGUAGAAUAUAGAAGGAUAUUUGCCCAUUUUCUUUUCUUUUUCAAUUAAUUUAUUUUUUUCAGUGGAUCUGGAAGAUGCUUAUUUUUAUAUCCAAAUCCAAAGCCUCCCAUCACAGACCAUUACUGAAGGGGUGGUUUAACUAUACACGGUACAGUCACCAUUCACACUGUCCCUGGCCCCAUGCACUUUUACCAAGUGUCCUUUUAAAAUCAGGUGGAUAGUCAAUAGUUUUGUCAGUGCUGUAGUAAAGGUUUAUGAGCAUAAACAUGUCAUUUCACUUACAACUCUUUCUUACGAUGACAUUUUCAUAAAUACAAUUCUUUAAAAGUUAUAUGCAAGAUAUUUAAUUUGUUAUAACUUUAGAUUUCCUUUUGUACAAUAUUAAAUAAAGACUCUUUAUACAUUC
Carassius auratus (goldfish) is the source of this 796-nucleotide long non-coding RNA. RefSeq lists it as uncharacterized. Lineage: Eukaryota; Metazoa; Chordata; Actinopteri; Cypriniformes; Cyprinidae. The transcript is spliced from 2 exons. The record is from RefSeq and is a predicted model, not a curated record.